GUUAUUUCUAGAGGUUCCUCAAACACUUCAUUGGGGAAUGUAUACACACUUAUGUAUAUGUAUAAUCAAUUUUACCUACUGAAGUGUUUGGGGGAACUCCUGGGGUUAC
Molecule: microRNA precursor, 109 nt
Filed under: Daucus carota subsp. sativus
Lineage: Eukaryota; Viridiplantae; Streptophyta; Magnoliopsida; Apiales; Apiaceae
Description: sRNA DCAR_mi00027
Rfam family: mir-395 microRNA precursor family
About the family: mir-395 was identified in both Arabidopsis thaliana and Oryza sativa computationally and was later experimentally verified. mir-395 is thought to target mRNAs coding for ATP sulphurylases. The mature sequence is excised from the 3' arm of the hairpin.
Source: Rfam by way of RNAcentral